UCGACAACGAUAAUUACUAGAUUAAUGGCCAUCAUCAUCAGACAAAUAAUUAUAUUUGAUCAACUCAUUCAAAUCACCAAAUUCAAAUUAUAAAUUCAUUGAACCUCUUACUUUAUUCAUUUUUCUCUUUUCUUCGUAAGUUUUACAACCAUCGCAAAACCUAGCUGCAAACCGUCACUGAUAAUUGAGCCGGUGACCAAGCCCCUGUCAUCGCUGAAAGUUCAUCUCUGGUCGCUGGAAUCAUGUAUCCGGCAUGCAACAUAUUAUUGAAUCAAGGUACGUUUGUUGUAUGGAAGUCAUGAUGGCAACCCAAAGCUUUAUUUGCAUACUGUGCUAGGCUUGAUAUUUGUGUUUGAAAGUGAUUAU
RNAcentral lists this long non-coding RNA (366 nucleotides) under Helianthus annuus (common sunflower). RNAcentral describes it as "sRNA HanXRQr2_Chr08g0348911". The record is from RNAcentral. Lineage: Eukaryota; Viridiplantae; Streptophyta; Magnoliopsida; Asterales; Asteraceae.